UACGUAGGUGGCAAGCGUUGUCCGGAUUUAUUGGGUUUAAAGGGUGCGUAGGCGGGUUAUUAAGUCAGUGGUGAAAGCCUUCAGCUUAACUGAAGAAUUGCCAUUGAUACUGAUGAUCUUGAGUAUGAUUGAGGUUGGCGGAAUGUGUCAUGUAGCGGUGAAAUGCUUAGAUAUGACACAGAACACCGAUUGCGAAGGCAGCUAACUAAGUCAUAACUGACGCUGAUGCACGAAAGCGUGGGGAGCAAACAGG
RNAcentral lists this ribosomal RNA (253 nucleotides) under uncultured bacterium. RNAcentral's name for it is "partial 16S ribosomal RNA". It matches the Rfam family "Bacterial small subunit ribosomal RNA", at positions 524 to 776 of the family's 1533-position model. The record is from RNAcentral.